This 1030-nucleotide long non-coding RNA is filed under the name Anas platyrhynchos platyrhynchos (common mallard). Its description in RNAcentral is "lncRNA (ENSAPLG00000026047.1)". The record is from RNAcentral. Lineage: Eukaryota; Metazoa; Chordata; Aves; Anseriformes; Anatidae.
AUUCCUAUGUCUGUUAAGAACACUUCAGGAGUUUCUGUUGAUUACAAGGUAAGAUCAACAUGAAACUUCACUUUAUGAGAUAGGCUGAGAAAGUAACCUUAUCUAAAGUGGCCAUACAGAGAUUUUUUUUUGCCAAAAUCUUACCAUUUACUGUUCUUCCUUGUUUCAUAUAGAAAAAAGUGCUGGGCCUCUCUUGCUUCUCUUUCCUUGACUCUGUAACCAUUUAACCAGAUAGCGCAGUUGCUAUUCUAACACAGUUCUUCUUUCCCAGUAUACAUAGUAUGUUUUUAUUAAAUUCAUUAUUCAUAUUUCUUAGCUUCUUUUUGUCACAUCAGGAGUUGUAAGCAAGAAUAGUAAUGAUACACAUCAGGAGUUAUAAGCAAGAAUGAUAAUAAGGACGUUGCAACAAAUAAAAUUUAGUGCAAGUGCAAUGCUGCUCCCCCUGAGCCUCCAUAUAUCUCUCCUGGCUUUGUGUUGAAGAAUCACAGACCCAAAAUGCCUCCAGCUACACAAAUGGUUGGGGGAUUUGGGUCUUUAGAAUGAAAGGUUCUGUUUGUGUGUUUUCAAGUUCUCAGUGGCCAUUGUACAUUGCAAAAAGAUAUCAAGAAAGCUCUUAGCUGGAGAAAGAUUUGUUGCAGCCCAUUUUCCUCAGAUACUAUUGUAGCAGAUUAUAAAAAUAAAAUGAGUUUAAUUUUAUGGAAAUGAUGCAAAAAAUGCUUGCAUAUUUAACCUCAGACUCUUUGUUGUAGGAGUGGAUGAUAACACGUACUUGUUUACUCUUUUUUCUGCUACAGAAAGAUCACUUCUAUGAAAAGAGGGAGGAAACAUGGAGAUAUGUGCAUUACUAUUAUAAAUUGGGACACACGCAGUUUCCUUUGUUGUUCUCCAAACCAUGAUGAGUAAGCAAGCCCAUUAACUCAACGAGCAAUAUAGUGAAGACUUUUGCAAAAUACUUCAGAAGAAAAGCAGAAAAAUCUCUAUAACCACAGGUGAGCAAUAAAAUAGCUAUAAGGCAAAAGUAUUGUUUGCA